GUUUGGUUGUAGUAAUUGGUGUUUCUCCUCUCUGCUUUGCUGCUCUUUGUCUCCGUUAAUGUAUUUUAAAGUUUGCGUGUAAACAGCUGUGGUAUUCACAUGCUGUUUGAACAGAGAGAGACAUAAUUCUCUCAGGAUUUUUCCUGGGGAAGGCAAUGAGAAAGCUCAGAGAGAGAAGAGAAAGCAAUUUUUAUCUCUACUUGCUGCUCCUGUUUGGCACAUGUGGAAUGUGUUCUGGAGAUUGUUUAUCAGAAGGGGUUUGUUAAUGGACUCUGGUGAUGGUUGUUUGGAUUGAUAGACCAAUUAGGUCAAAGCUGUGUCGUGACUGUCUGAAAGGGUCGUGAGUUUUUAUUUGUCUGAUAGAGUUUUAGUAUAGUAGUACUGUAGAAUACGAUAAUAUGUAGUCUUACAUAGUAUAGCUUGAUAAAGCAAUUGUUCAGCCUUCUGAAUAAUGGAGUCAGAGCAUGUUACUCCUCGUGUCAGGGGUGCCAUCCAUCGAUAAACAAUUUUCUAUCUAUUUUUUAAAAACGUGCUGGAUUUAGAUUUCUUGUGGGCAGCGUCGAAGUCUGUUGCGAAGGCUGUUUCUGUGUCUAUGUAAAACCAUUUUUUGGUAUACUUGCCAAUGAAAAUAUUUCCAGUUGUUUGUGUUUUCAUUCAGGAACCUCCUUCCACAGAAAAUCAGCAGUGUCUGUAACUCUUCCACUCUCCAAUUACAAAGAAAGAAAGAAAAGGCUGACUGUCGAAAUAUUUCAAUCUUGCCAGUCCAAAAUCUGUGUUGCCCUCUGAAUUUCCAGGGUCACUGCCUGAUCUAGGCACUUAAAAUUUGCCAAAAUAUUACAGAAUACUUGUCCAGUGAUAAACUGAGUCUGUUUAUAGGCAGGAAAGCUUUGGAGAACACAUCGAAAAUACAUAGCAGCAAUAUCUAUACAAAUGAUAAAUCUGACAUUAAGAAGACUACAAGAUGUCUGGAAUUCCCUAGACAUGUAUUUCUCUUGCUGUCUCAUAAUUCUGUCUUGGGAAACUGUGAGGAAGGUCUGUGUUUUUCUGAGUCUUAAUAUUUAGAAGGAAUAUAUGGGUAGCUAUAUAUGUUUGAAAAGUCUAGACAAGUCCUCUUUGCAUAUAUUCUCUGUGAACCAAAGUAAGGACUUACUCUUCAUGCAGGUACAGUUUCCCAUGGAUUCCAUUUAUGAUGGGAGCUUUAAAUAGCAAACGUGUAUGUACUUCAGUCUGAAAAAUCUGGGGCAGAAAUAGGUAAAUCAUAAAUACUUCCCAUGAUAAUCAGUAGGCUUGGUUUCCUGCUUUAGCCCAAAGAUUUUCCCUACUUUUUUCAGUUCACUAUCUUUUCAUUGUACAAACUUGUUUUUUUUUUUAAAAUUAAGAAGCAGGUGGUUUUAUCUGCAUCUUAGAGUUUCUGGCAUGACCUUGGCAUUCAUUUAGAAGUAUUUUAGGAAAAAUCAGACACCUAUUUCACUCUAAAAUUCUGCUUCCAUGUCUUUCGCUGAUCAGCUCUCCUUUUGAUCUUUCCACCUCCCUCAUCACUAUACCUCUCUUUCAAUGCCUCUCAUUUCCCUUCCUGCUUUUCUACUUCAAGAAGAAAAAGACACUUUUCAGACUCUUCAGUUCUUGAUUUGCCUGAUCACUCCGCCAUUUCAGCUUUUUUGCCUUAGGACUGCAUCUGUAAGACCUAUUGUUUCAAAGUGCUCUAUGACUUAGUUCUUGUCAGCACCUAAUGCUAUCUUACCCUGUGCUUGCUUUCAAUCUUUUCGUUUAUUGCUUUGCUCCAGCAAAGACUAGCAGUAAGUCUUCCUACCAUCUCUAUUCUCAUCAGUCCUUUCUCUUACGUGAGUUAUUGCCUGCUGAAUAAGAUAGAUAAUUGGAAUCGGGGAAUGUUUCUCAUCUUGUGAUUUUGCAGAGCACCAUGUACACUUUAAUAACAAAACUGUUGAUGGGCACUGUGACUAUCAAUACUGUCUACAUAUGAAAUGGAAAAUAGCAAAGCUACCAGCAAGUUUCUGCUCCAAAUUGUAUUGGAAGGCUCUCCCAGGCUUUAAAUUUUGGUGACCCUUCCUGUGGCAUCUUUCCCUAGUAGUUGAGCAUGUAGAUUGUUUUCUGAACUUCUCCCAAUAGCUCAUGUACUGUUGAGAAUACCUUUCUCUUAGAUAGCACUUGUUUAGAAAGGAGAUCCUGCAUUAGAUGACUAAUGAAAAGAUGAAACAAAGAAUCAGAAGAAAACCAGCAUCCUUUGAAGUGCACACAAUGGCAGAACUUUUGAACUCCACUGUCACUGUUGGCUUGGUGUGCAGAAGAGGGAUAGCUUGGAGAAUCCACCUUUUCAGAGGUUCUUACCAGAAAGGUCAGGAGAGGCUACUGCUCAUGUUAUAAAUGUAGACGAGCCUUGAGAAAGUGUGCCUCAGGCCACUGAAGCUUUUUGUACUGCACUUAAUGCAUAGGAGAGAUGAGAGGAAGCCAUGUCAGUGAGAUUGAUAGCAAGCUAAUGUAAUAAAAAUGGAGAAGAACGAGACAGGAGAUCUCAUCACUAUCCCUGCAGACCAAACUUCAUGUUUCAAGCCACAAGUUGAGCCAAUCCAGAAGGGAGACCUGAACCCAGGAUUGCCAGUGCCCACUGGUCUGCUCUAGUAACUCUUUCUUCUUGAGUGAUGGAAUGUCUCCAUUCAGUGCAUCAAGUACAACAUGGAUGCCAUACCCGAUUUUGGGGAGGGAGGCUUUAGGCUGGCUCAGCUUCCUCCCUCGGAUCGCGUGUCAUGAGUGACCGCUCCCUGCCUCAGCCACAGGCCGGCAGAAAGGCAGCGGUUCAGCCCGGGACGGGAUGCUGUAUCUCCACCGCGGACUGGUGUUAUGAAAUGUCCAGGGUUGCAGUGAAGGAAACAAGGAGGGACCUUGUUUGCGUCUCCAAGCAGCCUUUAUUCUGUCCCUGAGGGGGAGAUGAUGAUACAGAGGCACAAAGGAAUAACUCUGAAGCAAAGCAGUGCCAAAGGAACCCAGAACAGUGCAAUGCUGCAGCUUAUAAAGGGAGGAGGUCUCUGGGGAGACCUCAAAACCAGUAAGGGGAUUGAGGGGAGGAGAACACUCUCACAUAACCAAUAAGGAUCUAAGGAUCCCAUGACAGACACAGAGGGUUCUGGAAAUGGGUAGGGAUUACAAUGACUGGUAGGGAGAAAGGGCAGGGUUACAAUGACAGACACAGAAGGAGCUGGGAUAAGGGGUAGGUACUUGGGAUACCAGAUCAGGAGAUGGGAGGAAAUGCUUCUGGGCAAAACCAACAGUGGGGUCCAUUCGGGCAAACUAUCAUAGAAGACUUUGAAUAAAAUAUGACAGUAACGUGAAGAAAUAUUACUUUAAAAAGGCACUACCACACAACAAGAUGCCAGAGGAGUGCAUGCAGCUGGCAUUCCUUCAUCGCUUCCUGAACAACCUUGAGAAGAAAGCAAUAAAAUGUUUAUGAUAUAUGAGCUUUCUUACUGGGACUUCUGAGUUUUCGUAAACCCAAUAGUGUGUUGACAAAAGGAAUCUCUGCUAAAGGCAUUCCUUAUUUCAAAUGAUCACAGAUCUGUCUGAGAUCUCACUUUCUGAAUGGUCACAUUUUUCUGUUACAUGCAGAGCUUCUGAGAGGUGAAAACAGAGUAAGUGUUAGGAGAAUGUAAUACACCUAAAGACAUAAAACACAUCCUUGUACUGUGUUUCUGAAAUACCAUGGUUCAGCAGUAUUUUUCAAUCUACAUGGAGUGAACCAUGCAAAAUUCAUGGUGGCCUGCAUUUUGAACUAAGAGUUUACCUCUCUUUUGAUUAAACUGAGAUUCUCGCAAUUGUCUCCUUUAGUUUCAAAUACAGGAUCUUUGUUUUUAACCCUACCUUAUUGAGUGAAGUAGUAUUUCUGGUACUUGUACUUCUAAACAAGAGUCCAGAAUAAUAUUUAAUAAUUUAGUAAUUCAGCAUUUAUUUCUUACACACAUCUUUAUUCUGUGGUAAAUCCCAGAGGCUGCAACUGAAAUCGGGGCCAAAUUUUAUUUAACACUGUGCAGGUUUUAAAGGCAAUAUCUGCUUGGAAGAACUUACUAUUUUCAUGGAUGUGAAUUCAGAGUUAACUUCUAGAGCUGAUCAUAUAGCCUGGGCAAAGGUGACAUGAAUUGUUGAUGUCCUGAUGUUGUUGUGGCAGUGGAUUGUCUAUGCUCAGGCUUCAUUUGCAAGAAAAUUCUGUCUGUUUUAAAAGCUAGACUUCAGAGUUCUGACAUGACUUAUUUUCUGUUUUUAUAGCCCGGUAUCUUUGUAUAUAGGGACAUUUUUGGAGUAAUUGUGUGGAAGAUGUAAACACUUUUGACCCUUGAUUUGUGCAGAGGCCUCUCUGGACUAAAGUGAUAUUGCUCUUAUGGCACAGUCUAGAAUUGGAAUAUAACAAUAUUUAGCAUUCAAUAAUGAACCAACCAUGCUUAACAGUCAGAUAAUAUUUUAUUUUCUAUUAAAGUUUACGACUCUUAAAAUUAAAAUAGCUCUCAUGGUGAUAGUUUGGCUAUUAUUAUUAUUAUUAUUAUUAUUAUUAUUAUUAUUAUUAUUAUUAUUAUUAUUAUUUCAUUUAUUUACUGUUUUAUACCUCUGUUGUUUCACAAAAUUCACAAUGGCUUACUGCGUCACUGCAGACAGUUUUGCAAGCAAAGGUGCUUACUUGUCUGUUACUUGCAUUCUGUUAAAUAUUUCUUAUUCCUUCAGACUGCGCUACAAGGACCAUUUCACUGUCCCCUUUGGCUUCUGCAUCUUGCUUCCAGCAUGAGCAGACAGCAGUCAUCACACUGUAAUAAUUUUCUCCUGGUUCACCUGUGGUCUCUAUGAAUAACAGAGUGGGGUAAAAAAAAGAAAAGAAAAGAAGAUGAGUUUGGCUUAGAGUCUGAUGAUCACAGUGUGGAGCUACUUUUUAUGCCUGGCAGAGGAGAAAUGCCUUUUAGAGAGAGAACUAAAAGCAAAGAAAAAAAAUCUCAUAAUUUCAGGAUCAUAAUGUCUUCAAAAGAAAUUUGCAUGUGCAAGGAGGAGACAACAUGGCUUUCUGAUGGCUUUCCUACCGCUAAACACAUGUAAUUUAUGGUGAUGUCAUCAUUGCCAUUGAAAUAUAAUUGUGAUAUAAAUAAUGAGGAAGCUGCCAACAUCAUCCUGUUGAACUGAACCAUUCUUCUCAUUCUUUCUCAGUCAUCAAUGCUUAGGUGAAGACAUCUUUCUAUUCAUAAGAGUGAUGUAACAGAAAUUUUUACAAUUUUUUUUCUCUGAGUGCAUGGCAACUAUAACUAGCUAAAGAAAUUAUGGAUAACAUUUUAAGGAAAAUUAUUGUAUUUAUUAUAAAGCAAAAAAAAUAAAACUCUCAAAAUUUGUCAUAUUUUACCAAGGUUUUUUUAAAAUUUUUCAGAUAAUGUUAAUGGGGUUUUUUUAAUGCUCCAAGGGUAAAACAGAAUGACUCAUGCUAUAAAAAACAAUGUCUAUCAAAAACCAUACAUCCACCAAAAUUUUUUUUUUCAUAAUUUCAAAUGAAAUUUUGAAUUUUAUUGUGCUCUAGGCCCCCAAAACUAGGCCCCCAAAACUCUCUAGGCCCCCAAAACUCUCUAGGCCCCCAAAACUAUCAGAAAGUUCCAGUUUAAUAGUUUAAACUAUUAAACUGGGACUUUCAUUGUUGCUCAUCUUCACUCUUGAGUGACCAUGGCCAAUGGGAUAAAAUGAGGAAGAGGUAUAGGCAUGAAAAAAUCAUUCCUCAUUUCUCUAAUAUCUGGUUGUUUUAUUGUCUGUUGACCAUCACUGUAGACUACAGAAGUCACUGAAAUAUUCACAAUGUUGUUGGGCUAACUAUAUUUUGCCUGACUGUUUGAAUUGCUCAGAGUUACUAUGACUUUUGAUUCAUUCUCUUUCUCCAGCUAUGCAUGUUGUAGGAAGGUAAUGUAAAGCACUGGUGUUUUCCCAUCAAUUCUUUAUCCUUAUGUACAUUUUUGAACAACAACAGAUUAUACAGACAAUUCAUUUUAAUAGACACUGAGAGUGAUUUUUGAGAGUUUUGGCUGAUUACAGUAUGAUGACAAGGGAGGACUGACAGGAAGCACUGUUCAAGGACUCUUAAAAUGAAGGAAGGACUGCAGGCAAGGAAUGAUGAAAACAGAAAGUAACUCAAACAGGAAAAUCACCACUUCUUGUGCAACAGAAAUUAUUUUAUGUAAAAUGACUAAAGCCAAGUUCUGAGGAGGAGAAGAAACUGAGUCUCUCUUAGAAGGUCUAAUGAAAUGUGUAAAAUUAUUUCCUUUUAGCUUUACACAUUGGAUACUCAGAUUUUGUGCUGUUUUAUUUAUGUUUUUUAUAAUGUGAUUUAUGUUCUGUAGCCAUGCGGCAAGUAACUUUUUGUUUAAAGGGUUUUAACUCUAUAAAGGGAAAAUUGGAUACAUCAAAUGAACUCUGUAAUCAAUAAACUGGAGACUAGUUGUUGCCAGGUGUAAAUUACAUGCAGAAUUUGA
Molecule: long non-coding RNA, 6494 nt
Organism: Passer domesticus (house sparrow)
Lineage: Eukaryota; Metazoa; Chordata; Aves; Passeriformes; Passeridae
Exons: 8
Source: RefSeq, a predicted model, not a curated record